This 273-nucleotide unclassified non-coding RNA is filed under the name Salinispora arenicola. RNAcentral describes it as "partial 16S-23S ribosomal RNA intergenic spacer". Lineage: Bacteria; Bacillati; Actinomycetota; Actinomycetes; Micromonosporales; Micromonosporaceae. The record is from RNAcentral.
CCAUCCGUCGAAGGGCGGUAUGGAGCCUCGUGUCACCUGUGUUGGGUGGUGGGGUGCUCAUUGGUCGGAGACACUGGCUAGUUGGCGUCGGCAGCGGUCGGAUGCUCUUGUACACGCUUCUCAUCGUGUGGUGGGGGGUGGGGGAAGGGGUUGAUGAUGCGGCUGGUGCUGGUGGUGGACACCCUGUUGGGUCCUGAAGGAAUGACCGUUGGUUGUUUCUUGGGCCGUGUGCUCUGCGGUGCCGUGUGGUGCGGUGGGGUGGCGGUUGCCUGG